RNAcentral lists this transfer RNA (74 nucleotides) under Inoviridae sp. RNAcentral describes it as "tRNA-Gln". It matches the Rfam family "tRNA". From Rfam's summary of the family: Transfer RNA (tRNA) molecules are approximately 80 nucleotides in length. Their secondary structure includes four short double-helical elements and three loops (D, anti-codon, and T loops). Further hydrogen bonds mediate the characteristic L-shaped molecular structure. tRNAs have two regions of fundamental functional importance: the anti-codon, which is responsible for specific mRNA codon recognition, and the 3' end, to which the tRNAs corresponding amino acid is attached (by aminoacyl-tRNA synthetases). tRNAs cope with the degeneracy of the genetic code in two manners: having more than one tRNA (with a specific anti-codon) for a particular amino acid; and 'wobble' base-pairing, i.e. permitting non-standard base-pairing at the 3rd anti-codon position. Lineage: Floreoviria; Loebvirae; Hofneiviricota; Faserviricetes; Tubulavirales; Inoviridae. The record is from RNAcentral.
GGCGGGAUAGUGUAAAGGUAACAUGUGAGAUUCUGCAUCUCAAGCUGCUGGUUCGAUUCCGGCUCCCGCAACCA